This 370-nucleotide ribosomal RNA is filed under the name Mysmenidae sp. RNAcentral's name for it is "partial large subunit ribosomal RNA". The record is from RNAcentral. Lineage: Eukaryota; Metazoa; Arthropoda; Arachnida; Araneae; Mysmenidae.
AAAUAGCCGCAGAAUUUUAACUGUGCUAAGGUAGCAUAAUCAUUAGAUUUUUAAUUAAAAUCUAGAAUGAAAGGUUAAACCUUUAAUAACUUUUUCAAUCUACUAAAUCUAAAUUAUAAAAGAAAUAAAAAUAUUUCUAUAUAUAAAUAGACGACAAGACCCUAUUGAACUUAACUUUAGUUAAGCUGGGGCAGCUAAUUAAAAAUCAUUUUAAUUUUUGUAUUAAUAUAAACACCUAAUAUUAUUAAAUAAACAAGUUACCAUAGGGAUAACAGCGUAAUUUUUUAUAAAAGUUCUUAUUAAAUAUAAAGAUUGCGACCUCGAUGUUGAAUUAUUUACCUAAUUGAAGCAAAAUUCUAAAAAGGGGGUC